RNAcentral lists this ribosomal RNA (254 nucleotides) under uncultured bacterium. RNAcentral's name for it is "partial 16S ribosomal RNA". It matches the Rfam family "Bacterial small subunit ribosomal RNA", at positions 524 to 776 of the family's 1533-position model. The record is from RNAcentral.
UACGGGGGGAGCAAGCGUUGUUCGGAUUUACUGGGCGUAAAGGGCGCGUAGGCGGCCACCGCAAGUCGAUUGUGAAAUCUCCGGGCUUAACCCGGAAAGGUCAACCGAUACUGCGGGGCUAGAGUGCAGAAGGGGCAACUGGAAUUCUCGGUGUAGCGGUGAAAUGCGUAGAUAUCGAGAGGAACACCUGCGGCGAAGGCGGGUUGCUGGGCUGACACUGACGCUGAGGCGCGAAAGCGUGGGGAGCGAACAGG